This 462-nucleotide ribosomal RNA is filed under the name uncultured bacterium. RNAcentral describes it as "partial 16S ribosomal RNA". It matches the Rfam family "Bacterial small subunit ribosomal RNA", at positions 29 to 507 of the family's 1533-position model. The record is from RNAcentral.
UACGAACGCUGGCGGCGUGCUUAACACAUGCAAGUCGAACGGAAAGGCCCUUCGGGGUACUCGAGUGGCGAACGGGUGAGUAACACGUGGGUGAUCUGCCCUGCACUUUGGGAUAAGCCUGGGAAACUGGGUCUAAUACCGAAUAGGACCACGCGCUUCAUGGUGUGUGGUGGAAAGCUUUUGCGGUGUGGGAUGGGCCCGCGGCCUAUCAGCUUGUUGGUGGGGUAAUGGCCUACCAAGGCGACGACGGGUAGCCGGCCUGAGAGGGUGACCGGCCACACUGGGACUGAGAUACGGCCCAGACUCCUACGGGAGGCAGCAGUGGGGAAUAUUGCACAAUGGGCGCAAGCCUGAUGCAGCGACGCCGCGUGAGGGAUGACGGCCUUCGGGUUGUAAACCUCUUUCAAUAGGGACGAAGCGCAAGUGACGGUACCUAUAGAAGAAGCACCGGCCAACUACGUG